This 373-nucleotide ribosomal RNA is filed under the name uncultured bacterium. RNAcentral's name for it is "bacterial SSU rRNA". It matches the Rfam family "Bacterial small subunit ribosomal RNA", at positions 523 to 898 of the family's 1533-position model. The record is from RNAcentral.
AGACGUAGGGGGCGAGCGUUGUCCGGAAUCACUGGGCGUAAAGAGCACGUAGGCGGGAUAUUAAGUCAGGUGUGAAAGACCGUGGCUCAACCACGGGGUUGCAUUUGAAACUGAUAUUCUUGAGGGCAGGAGAGGACAGUAGAAUUCCUGGUGUAGCGGUGAAAUGCGUAGAAAUCAGGAAGAAUACCGGUGGCGAAGGCGGCCACCUGGACAGGCACUGACGCUGAGGCGCGAAAGCGUGGGGAGCAAACAGGAUUAGAUACCCUGGUAGUCCACGCCGUAAACGAUGGAUGCUAGGUGUCGGGGAGCGAUCCUCGGUGCCGGAGUUAACGCAUUAAGCAUCCCGCCUGGGGAGUACGGUCGCAAGGCUGAA